Molecule: RNA transcript, 1274 nt
Organism: Thrips palmi
Lineage: Eukaryota; Metazoa; Arthropoda; Insecta; Thysanoptera; Thripidae
Exons: 3
Source: RefSeq, a predicted model, not a curated record
CCUCGAGCACGCUGGGAAACCUCAUGACGGAGCUGGCGCACAACCCGGACGUGCGGGACAUGGCGCGCGCCGAGGUGGAGCGCGUGCUGGCCAAGCACGGGGGCAAGCUCACCUACGAGGCGCUGGGCGAGCUCACCUACAUGGACCGCAUCAUCGACGCGCUUGAUUCCCUGAGUCUGCCGCACCUUUUAUUUACGUUCCAAACCCUGUGCGCCAUGUCGAUAAUUGAACAAAAGGACGUAAGUCUUUGUACCUGCAAAAUCAGAUUCCUUGUCCAAAACUACGCCUCGCAAAUUUUGACUUACCCAUCUAUCAUACCCGAUCUGCGACAGGCCUUCACACUUACCGCAAUUCUGCCUAAAGUAAAUACCUUACGUGAUUGCAAAACUUGAGAAGGCUGCCAUUUCCAAACUACUGGAGCCACAGCGGUAAAAUUUCACACUAACUCAACACUCAACACUAACCUAGCUUCACCUACCAGUAUCCUUGAGGGGAUAGAAGUAUAUUAUGAUGAAGUUCUACAAAAAUUUGUACAAGCAUCCCCUGAUGUAACAUUUGAACUGGUAACUGAGGUCACUGUAGAGCCUCGAGGCACUCAAGGUGGGAAUGAGUCCCAACCACAACCAGCACCAAAUCAAGCCGUCAAUCACUCAACUUCAGUCUUGGCCUCAGCGACCUCACCCUCGGCACCCAGUACCAGCACUGCUGCAGGACAGCUCUUCUUCAAGAGAGCCAAAAGAAGAGCUUCUCAGAUGAGUGAAGUUUUGUCUCUGUCAAAGGAGUUCGUGAAACCUUUGCCAGAGCCCACUCCUGUUGAAAAUGACUCAGCGACUAAUCUGGAUUAGAGAAGGUCACUGAUGAGCCUCAAGACACUCAAGGUGGGAAUGUGUCCCAACCACAACCAGAACCAAAUAACUCAACUUCAGUCUUGGCCUCAGCAGGCUUUCCAGAAACAGUUCCACGGGAAAAAGGGCCAGGCGAAGAGGCAGGCGGGGAACGGACUCUGUAAGAAGAAAGGCGCUACCCUGCAGCCUGCGGCGGCGCCAUGCUUCGCCAUGCUGCUGUACGAGCCCACGGACGUUGCAGCAGGGUCCGCCCCGAGGCCCGAAGCACCGACUACCCAGCCGCUACGACACCUGCCGGCGCUCUCCGUUGAUUCGCGUUUACGUGGUUUUAUCCCCCUCCACCGCCAUCUCACCUGGGCGCCAUGUCCACCUUCAACUACGCGGACCUUUCAAACGUGCAGGACGACAAGUGCAUGGUAGUUGAGUGUA